UACGUAGGGUGCAAGCGUUGUCCGGAAUUAUUGGGCGUAAAGAGCUCGUAGCGGUUGUCGCGUCGAAUGUGAAAACCCGGGCUCAACUCCGGGCCUGCAUUCGAUACGGGCAGACUAGAGUUCGGUAGGGGAGACUGGAAUUCCUGGUGUAGCGGUGAAAUGCGCAGAUAUCAGGAGGAACACCGAUGGCGAAGGCAGGUCGACUGGGCCGCAACUGACGCUGAGGAGCGAAAGCAUGGGAGCGAACAGG
RNAcentral lists this ribosomal RNA (250 nucleotides) under uncultured bacterium. Its description in RNAcentral is "partial 16S ribosomal RNA". It matches the Rfam family "Bacterial small subunit ribosomal RNA", at positions 524 to 776 of the family's 1533-position model. The record is from RNAcentral.